This 498-nucleotide ribosomal RNA is filed under the name uncultured Glomeromycotina. RNAcentral describes it as "partial small subunit ribosomal RNA". It matches the Rfam family "Eukaryotic small subunit ribosomal RNA", at positions 591 to 1092 of the family's 1831-position model. Lineage: Eukaryota; Fungi; Glomeromycota. The record is from RNAcentral.
CCAAUAGCGUAUAUUAAAGUUGUUGCAGUUAAAAAGCUCGUAGUUGAAUUUCGGGAUCAAUUUGUCGGUCGUGCCUCGGUACGCACUGGCUUAUUGGUUUCUCCUUUCUGAAGAACCAUGAUGUCAUUUAUUUGGUGUCGUGGGGAAUCAGGACUGUUACUUUGAAAAAAUUAGAGUGUUUAAAGCAGGCUCACGCUUGAAUACAUUAGCAUGGAAUAAUGAAAUAGGACGUUUGAUUCUAUUUUGUUGGUUUCUAGGAUCGACGCAAUGAUUAAUAGGGAUAGUUGGGGGCAUUAGUAUUCAAUUGUCAGAGGUGAAAUUCUUGGAUUUAUUGAAGACUAACUACUGCGAAAGCAUUUGCCAAGGAUGUUUUCAUUAAUCAAGAACGAAAGUUAGGGGAUCGAAGACGAUCAGAUACCGUCGUAGUCUUAACCAUAAACUAUGCCGACUAGGGAUCGGAUGAUGUUAAUUUUUUAAUGACUCAUUCGGCGCCUUACG